This 2905-nucleotide ribosomal RNA is filed under the name Escherichia coli. RNAcentral's name for it is "23S ribosomal RNA". It matches the Rfam family "Bacterial large subunit ribosomal RNA". Lineage: Bacteria; Pseudomonadati; Pseudomonadota; Gammaproteobacteria; Enterobacterales; Enterobacteriaceae. The record is from RNAcentral.
GGUUAAGCGACUAAGCGUACACGGUGGAUGCCCUGGCAGUCAGAGGCGAUGAAGGACGUGCUAAUCUGCGAUAAGCGUCGGUGAGGUGAUAUGAACCGUUAUAACCGGCGAUUUCCGAAUGGGGAAACCCAGUGUGUUUCGACACACUAUCAUUAACUGAAUCCAUAGGUUAAUGAGGCGAACCGGGGGAACUGAAACAUCUAAGUACCCCGAGGAAAAGAAAUCAACCGAGAUUCCCCCAGUAGCGGCGAGCGAACGGGGAGGAGCCCAGAGCCUGAAUCAGUGUGUGUGUUAGUGGAAGCGUCUGGAAAGGCGCGCGAUACAGGGUGACAGCCCCGUACACAAAAAUGCACAUACUGUGAGCUCGAUGAGUAGGGCGGGACACGUGGUAUCCUGUCUGAAUAUGGGGGGACCAUCCUCCAAGGCUAAAUACUCCUGACUGACCGAUAGUGAACCAGUACCGUGAGGGAAAGGCGAAAAGAACCCCGGCGAGGGGAGUGAAAAAGAACCUGAAACCGUGUACGUACAAGCAGUGGGAGCCUCUUAAUGGGGUGACUGCGUACCUUUUGUAUAAUGGGUCAGCGACUUAUAUUCUGUAGCAAGGUUAACCGAAUAGGGGAGCCGAAGGGAAACCGAGUCUUAACUGGGCGUUAAGUUGCAGGGUAUAGACCCGAAACCCGGUGAUCUAGCCAUGGGCAGGUUGAAGGUUGGGUAACACUAACUGGAGGACCGAACCGACUAAUGUUGAAAAAUUAGCGGAUGACUUGUGGCUGGGGGUGAAAGGCCAAUCAAACCGGGAGAUAGCUGGUUCUCCCCGAAAGCUAUUUAGGUAGCGCCUCGUGAAUUCAUCUCCGGGGGUAGAGCACUGUUUCGGCAAGGGGGUCAUCCCGACUUACCAACCCGAUGCAAACUGCGAAUACCGGAGAAUGUUAUCACGGGAGACACACGGCGGGUGCUAACGUCCGUCGUGAAGAGGGAAACAACCCAGACCGCCAGCUAAGGUCCCAAAGUCAUGGUUAAGUGGGAAACGAUGUGGGAAGGCCCAGACAGCCAGGAUGUUGGCUUAGAAGCAGCCAUCAUUUAAAGAAAGCGUAAUAGCUCACUGGUCGAGUCGGCCUGCGCGGAAGAUGUAACGGGGCUAAACCAUGCACCGAAGCUGCGGCAGCGACGCUGAUGCGUUGUUGGGUAGGGGAGCGUUCUGUAAGCCUGUGAAGGUGGCCUGUGAGGGUUGCUGGAGGUAUCAGAAGUGCGAAUGCUGACAUAAGUAACGAUAAAGCGGGUGAAAAGCCCGCUCGCCGGAAGACCAAGGGUUCCUGUCCAACGUUAAUCGGGGCAGGGUGAGUCGACCCCUAAGGCGAGGCCGAAAGGCGUAGUCGAUGGGAAACAGGUUAAUAUUCCUGUACUUGGUGUUACUGCGAAGGGGGGACGGAGAAGGCUAUGUUGGCCGGGCGACGGUUGUCCCGGUUUAAGCGUGUAGGCUGGUUUUCCAGGCAAAUCCGGAAAAUCAAGGCUGAGGCGUGAUGACGAGGCACUACGGUGCUGAAGCGACAAAUGCCCUGCUUCCAGGAAAAGCCUCUAAGCAUCAGGUAACAUCAAAUCGUACCCCAAACCGACACAGGUGGUCAGGUAGAGAAUACCAAGGCGCUUGAGAGAACUCGGGUGAAGGAACUAGGCAAAAUGGUGCCGUAACUUCGGGAGAAGGCACGCUGAUAUGUAGGUGAAGCGACUUGCUCGUGGAGCUGAAAUCAGUCGAAGAUACCAGCUGGCUGCAACUGUUUAUUAAAAACACAGCACUGUGCAAACACGAAAGUGGACGUAUACGGUGUGACGCCUGCCCGGUGCCGGAAGGUUAAUUGAUGGGGUUAGCGGUAACGCGAAGCUCUUGAUCGAAGCCCCGGUAAACGGCGGCCGUAACUAUAACGGUCCUAAGGUAGCGAAAUUCCUUGUCGGGUAAGUUCCGACCUGCACGAAUGGCGUAAUGAUGGCCAGGCUGUCUCCACCCGAGACUCAGUGAAAUUGAACUCGCUGUGAAGAUGCAGUGUACCCGCGGCAAGACGGAAAGACCCCGUGAACCUUUACUAUAGCUUGACACUGAACAUUGAGCCUUGAUGUGUAGGAUAGGUGGGAGGCUUUGAAGUGUGGACGCCAGUCUGCAUGGAGCCGACCUUGAAAUACCACCCUUUAAUGUUUGAUGUUCUAACGUGGGCCCCUUACCGGGGUUGCGGACAGUGUCUGGUGGGUAGUUUGACUGGGGCGGUCUCCUCCUAAAGAGUAACGGAGGAGCACGAAGGUUGGCUAAUCCUGGUCGGACAUCAGGAGGUUAGUGCAAUGGCAUAAGCCAGCUUGACUGCGAGCGUGACGGCGCGAGCAGGUGCGAAAGCAGGUCAUAGUGAUCCGGUGGUUCUGAAUGGAAGGGCCAUCGCUCAACGGAUAAAAGGUACUCCGGGGAUAACAGGCUGAUACCGCCCAAGAGUUCAUAUCGACGGCGGUGUUUGGCACCUCGAUGUCGGCUCAUCACAUCCUGGGGCUGAAGUAGGUCCCAAGGGUAUGGCUGUUCGCCAUUUAAAGUGGUACGCGAGCUGGGUUUAGAACGUCGUGAGACAGUUCGGUCCCUAUCUGCCGUGGGCGCUGGAGAACUGAGGGGGGCUGCUCCUAGUACGAGAGGACCGGAGUGGACGCAUCACUGGUGUUCGGGUUGUCAUGCCAAUGGCACUGCCCGGUAGCUAAAUGCGGAAGAGAUAAGUGCUGAAAGCAUCUAAGCACGAAACUUGCCCCGAGAUGAGUUCUCCCUGAGACUUAGAGUCUCCUGAAGGAACGUUGAAGACGACGACGUUGAUAGGCCGGGUGUGUAAGCGCAGCGAUGCGUUGAGCUAACCGGUACUAAUGAACCGUGAGGCUUAAACUU